UCUUAAAUAAUUGUCACUUCCACUGCUGAUAACAUUGUGUCUAUAAAUGGAAUAUGCCAAACCUAAACAAAAAAGCCUGGCUAUCUUUAAUAGAAAAGAAUUAGAAAAUGUUUUGCUUUUGUGUUGUAAGCAAAUAUUGAAAGAAGAAAAUAGUCGAAGACUCAAAUAAUAGUGAUGUGGAUGAAUGCGUAGAGUCUGCUUUGUUAACGGAAUGUUCUUUGUUUGCGACAAAAGCUGAGCAAUUGAUAGCGUGGGGAUGGGAGACUGUCGGAACUGGAUUGCGUGAUUAAAAUAUGUCCUUCAAGCUCCAAUUAGAUGCUUCGAAGAGUUCGGAAGGAGCGAUUUUUCCAAUAAUUUUACCUUUCAGUUUCAAUGCUCGUUAGUUCAUAUUUUACCAGUUGGAAGUUAAAAGUAAACUAAUAGUAUGUACAAAUAAUUUCGUCACUGUUAUGAAAUUAUUGAACUCUUAGUGAGCACAUAAUUCUUAAGCGCUAUAGGAAGUUCAAUAUUUCCCAACUAGUGUUGAGGUUCAAAAUUUUUUGAGUACAUGCUGGGGCUUUGUAGAGACCUGCACUACGUGAAAUUUUGUCCAUUUCAAAAACAUACAUGCAGUAAGUCUUUGUGACAUACAUUUGGUCACAAAAACAACUACUGGACGAGCGCAAAGGGUGACAAGCCGUCAAAAACCUUUAAUGGCGAAAAGUGCUCCGAUAUGUCAAUGGGAAAAUUCGUAUCUGUGCAGACUACUCUACUGGACACUAUUCUAUAGUAGAACCAAACCAGUACCCGUUGCCCACACCGGAAAAAAAUUUGUCAGACAGUCACAACUAUGUAAUAUUCAGUCACUUGGGUUUGUCAGAGACUUAACUGCAAGUAGAAGCCGAUUACAACAGCAAGGAACUGCUCACUAUAAACUCGCAUAAGGGUUCAUACAAAUUUAACCGGCUGACUCCUGACAUAAAAUCUGCUCCUGGUGCGUUUCAAAGAAUUAUGUAUUAAAUAUGCUAUGGCAUCGAAGCUACUAAAGGGUACAUCGAUGACAUCAUGAUCGCAAGUAAGUCUUUGGCUGAGCAGUUUACAUCAGAUUUUGUAAAGAGUACAGGAUUUUAGAUUCAGACUCAAAUUCGAAAAAUUAAAAUUUUAAAAAAGAAUUUAUUUGCCAACAAAGAAGGCACUUGAAACAAAAUAAGUGUAAUCAAAAAUUUUAAGGUUCCAGAAAAUGUAACUCACUCUAAGUCCCGAUCAACGACUACAGCAAGUUUGCCAACAACAUGCGACGUCUUCGAAAACCUCUUAACGAUUUGUUGACAAAGGAUCACAAAUUCAUCUGGACUCUUCAGUGUUAAAAAUCGUUAGAUGACUUCAAGCGAAUUUUAACUUCGGAUUUGCUUUGGACACACUACAAUCCCUACCCAUUCAUGUGGCAGCAGAUUCAUCAUUACACGGGGUUGGAGCAGUCAUCUACCUCACUUGUUCCGAUCGUUAACUCCUGCUGAAUGGAAUUAUUGCCAAAUCGAAAAGGAAGGUCUAGCCCUCAUAUUCGCCGCACAGCGGUUUUACAGACUGCUGUGUGGACGCAAAUUUACUAAACACACCGACCACAAGCUGUUGUUAUCAAAAUUUGGUUCAAAGAAGGGGAAGGGUUCAGAAUUCCAAAGUUACACAGCCAACCGUUUACAACGUUGGGCUCUUAUUUUAUCAGUGUAUGCCAUUGAAAUUAUGUACACCAACACCGAUAAUUUUGAUCACAUAGACGUUUUAUCUAAUUGUUGCUUCAAUUGCUCUUGAGGAGGACAUUCGUAAAGAGGCCGACGAAGCAGUUUCAACUUCACCUCUCACUUUCAAAGAAAGUAGGAAAUGUAAUUUACAACACUCUCUUACAAGUUGGUGAUGGAAAAAUUCUAGUCAGAGCGCAUGCGUACCAACAUAGAAGAAGAUUUGCGGGAAAUUUCUGAAUCAGAAUCCGGACUGCCAUUUGAUAUUUUGCUCGAGGAAUUCAACAUGGGUUCUACACAUGAUACGCUGUUACAACGCCUCCAGGACUACUUCAUAUCCAGGUGAACUAUAUCAUCUUCAAAGAGGAAAUGUUAUUGCUACACUUGAAUGUGGCAACAACAAGCAGCGCCGCGGCCUGAUAUUUUGAAGUCAAAUUUGUUUGCAUACCAAUAUCCAAAUUAACUGAUAUUCUAAGGGUAAUUAAAAGGGUAUGUAAGAAGUAAAAUAACAAAAAUGUGGUCAUUAUAAAUAUUAUUAUUUUUAUGCCAUUUAUUGUUUUUUCUUUGUAUGGUCUUCUUCAAACAAAUAGGAGUAUGAAUGAUUUGUAAUAAAAAAUUUAAAUAUA
Molecule: long non-coding RNA, 2341 nt
Organism: Stomoxys calcitrans (stable fly)
Lineage: Eukaryota; Metazoa; Arthropoda; Insecta; Diptera; Muscidae
Exons: 3
Source: RefSeq, a predicted model, not a curated record